Molecule: long non-coding RNA, 647 nt
Organism: Galendromus occidentalis (western predatory mite)
Lineage: Eukaryota; Metazoa; Arthropoda; Arachnida; Mesostigmata; Phytoseiidae
Exons: 4
Source: RefSeq, a predicted model, not a curated record
GGAUGAACUCUCCGCAGCUCUCCGGCAGUCUGCAAAGAGACGGGAGAAGUAUCGCUCGCUGAUAAUAUGAGGGGUUCGGAAGGAGUCUCUAGCGAAGAUUUCUUGUGAUUGCGCACAGGAAGCGGAGAUGUCCUUCAACGAGAUCAUCUGGGAUAUCAUCCAAAAUGAUUUCCCUCAAUUCUCCUCACUGCAGAUCUGGCUUGGAUGCCUAUUGGUCGCUAUAAUAUUCACAAACUGCAUUCUGGCCUUGAUUUUAUGGAAGAAGUAUGGUCGAAUGAUUUCGGAGAGAUUCAUGAACCCAGCCACGAACAGAUCAUUGGAAGAGUUCAAGAAGGAGUUCAUCCUGCUCAAGUUACCCAUUCAGCACAGUCCCCGCAUUUGAUCUGCUCGGUCGAUAUAUUUUCAUCACUGAUCCGAUCUCGCCGGACUCACGUAACUUACGCUUCGACUCGUUAACUAAAAAUGACGACAAUCUGUCGGUCGUUCUCCCGUCCCGCCUUCGAGGUAUACGCGCAGACAGAGACGGCGUUCUCCGCAAGUAUAUUAGUACUCUGUUUAUUUAUUUAUUGAUCGUUCGACAUGGCCUCAGCAUGCAGCAUUUCAUAAGUGAAUGGAUGUACAGUUGGAAUAAUAAAAGAUCAAAUGAU